This 467-nucleotide ribosomal RNA is filed under the name uncultured Enterobacterales bacterium. RNAcentral describes it as "bacterial SSU rRNA". It matches the Rfam family "Bacterial small subunit ribosomal RNA", at positions 68 to 528 of the family's 1533-position model. The record is from RNAcentral. Lineage: Bacteria; Pseudomonadati; Pseudomonadota; Gammaproteobacteria; Enterobacterales.
GCACAGAGGAGCUUGCUCCUUGGGUGACGAGUGGCGGACGGGUGAGUAAUGUCUGGGAAACUGCCCGAUGGAGGGGGAUAACUACUGGAAACGGUAGCUAAUACCGCAUAACGUCGCAAGACCAAAGAGGGGGACCUUCGGGCCUCUUGCCAUCGGAUGUGCCCAGAUGGGAUUAGCUAGUAGGUGGGGUAACGGCUCACCUAGGCGACGAUCCCUAGCUGGUCUGAGAGGAUGACCAGCCACACUGGAACUGAGACACGGUCCAGACUCCUACGGGAGGCAGCAGUGGGGAAUAUUGCACAAUGGGCGCAAGCCUGAUGCAGCCAUGCCGCGUGUAUGAAGAAGGCCUUCGGGUUGUAAAGUACUUUCAGCGAGGAGGAAGGCAUUAAGGUUAAUAACCUUAGUGAUUGACGUUACUCGCAGAAGAAGCACCGGCUAACUCCGUGCCAGCCGCCGCGGUAAAAGGG